UGUUAAAAAUUUCAUCAAUUUUUUUUAUUAAAAAUUGACAUGACGAAUAAAUUAACCAAAUAGUUAUACGAGGCGUGACCCGUAAAUUUCAUGUCAACAUACAUGGGUCAGUUUUUAACUGUAAAAAUGAAUGAAAUUUUUAACA
Non-coding RNA from Gossypium raimondii (Peruvian cotton), 145 nucleotides. The record is from Rfam. Lineage: Eukaryota; Viridiplantae; Streptophyta; Magnoliopsida; Malvales; Malvaceae.